CAGUAGCCGCGGUAAUACAGAGGGUGCGAGCGUUAAUCGGAUUUACUGGGCGUAAAGCGUGCGUAGGCGGCUUUUUAAGUCGGAUGUGAAAUCCCUGAGCUUAACUUAGGAAUUGCAUUCGAUACUGGGAAGCUAGAGUAUGGGAGAGGAUGGUAGAAUUCCAGGUGUAGCGGUGAAAUGCGUAGAGAUCUGGAGGAAUACCGAUGGCGAAGGCAGCCAUCUGGCCUAAUACUGACGCUGAGGUACGAAAGCAUGGGGAGCAAACAGGAUUAAAUACCCCUGUAGUCCCUGUCUCUUAUAC
This 301-nucleotide ribosomal RNA is filed under the name uncultured bacterium. RNAcentral describes it as "partial 16S ribosomal RNA". It matches the Rfam family "Bacterial small subunit ribosomal RNA", at positions 509 to 807 of the family's 1533-position model. The record is from RNAcentral.